GGGUAGACUCUCUUCAAUGUCGGCCUCCGUCCAGCUAACCCCCGAGAUAAGGAUCGAAUUGGCCGAUCUGCUCUUCUUCCUUUUCUCCCCCCAUUUUUUUCUUUUCUUUUUUUAAAAGUUUCUUUGUUUGACAUAGAAAUGAGGCCUAAGUAGAUUGAGGCAAUGAAAAAACUAAGCCUAAAGAAGAGAAAAGCUUCGGAUUCAUCUUCUGGUAUGGCCAUACCGAAGAAGCCUCGUCAAGCCCUAACUACUCAAGUGAAAGAGCCCACCAAGA
RNAcentral lists this long non-coding RNA (274 nucleotides) under Elaeis guineensis (African oil palm). RNAcentral's name for it is "long non-coding RNA (EGUI_LNC047172)". The record is from RNAcentral. Lineage: Eukaryota; Viridiplantae; Streptophyta; Magnoliopsida; Arecales; Arecaceae.